This 337-nucleotide ribosomal RNA is filed under the name uncultured Anoxybacillus sp. RNAcentral describes it as "bacterial SSU rRNA". It matches the Rfam family "Bacterial small subunit ribosomal RNA", at positions 1045 to 1382 of the family's 1533-position model. The record is from RNAcentral. Lineage: Bacteria; Bacillati; Bacillota; Bacilli; Caryophanales; Anoxybacillaceae.
AUGGUUGUCGUCAGCUCGUGUCGUGAGAUGUUGGGUUAAGUCCCGCAACGAGCGCAACCCUCGACCUUAGUUGCCAGCAUUCAGUUGGGCACUCUAAGGUGACUGCCGGCUAAAAGUCGGAGGAAGGUGGGGAUGACGUCAAAUCAUCAUGCCCCUUAUGACCUGGGCUACACACGUGCUACAAUGGGCGGUACAAAGGGUCGCGAACCCGCGAGGGGGAGCCAAUCCCAAAAAGCCGCUCUCAGUUCGGAUUGCAGGCUGCAACUCGCCUGCAUGAAGCCGGAAUCGCUAGUAAUCGCGGAUCAGCAUGCCGCGGUCGAAUACGUUCCCGGGCCUU